Tribolium castaneum (red flour beetle) is the source of this 441-nucleotide long non-coding RNA. RefSeq lists it as uncharacterized. NCBI's taxonomy places the organism in Eukaryota, Metazoa, Arthropoda, Insecta, Coleoptera, Tenebrionidae. The record is from RefSeq and is a predicted model, not a curated record. The transcript is spliced from 3 exons.
AAUUUUGAUUAAUGUCAAUGUCAAUGUCAAUUUGAUUUCUUGUCAAUUCGCAAAUUCGAACGAACGGCUCAAACGAUUUCUAAAAAAUGAAAUUAUAUAUUGUUGAAAAAUGCAGCCAUCACCUGUUAGAAGGUACACCUUAACUUCGCGAACACCCCUAUAAAUUUCAAAUGUUUAAAGUCAAACUUAAUGAUUCUGCUUGAACGCCCACUAUCACAAAUUUUCUACAUAAAUAAGAAAAAUCAUGAAAAAAAAGAAUGUAAAACUCACCUUAUAAAAAGCGCAGAAAAGGUCCAUCUCAUAGAUGAAGGGUAAAAGGACAACAGGGAGGUUUAACAAUUCGACUUGCUGUAUAGAUCUGCUCCUAUGUUUUGGAAGAGGUAUUUGCUAACUGAGAUGGCAAAGCCCUGUGUCCGUGAAUAAGUAUUUACACGAAUUUAA